UGCGGAUCCAGAAUGUCACGGGUCUGGGUCAGAUCUGAUAGUCACAGGUCUGUGUAAUUUUAAAAGGACUUGUCCGGAAGUGCCCUUACAGAUCCAAACGUGACUGCUGCAGUAGAGAGAUGUCAUCAUUUAUGCUGCUUCUCCACCAGAGUGGAGCUUGUUCUGUAGCUUGUUGUUGUUGUUGGCCAAUCAGAAGUCAUCAAAGCGGCAAUAGGCUACAACGACCAAGAGCCAACAGGCAGGCUGCAACUUAAUAAUCUGAAUGGAGUUGUUGUUAUUUGUAACUGUAGGAUGAGAAAGCUCAGGCACAGCAGCCUCAAUUAGCCUAGCUAGCUAACGUUCUCCAGGUUUGAUGCAGCCUCAAUUAGCCUAGCUAGCUAACGUUCUCCAGGUUUGAUGCAGUCAAGGCAGGUACUAUGGAAUCAUAUUUGAUGAUAAGCUAGCUAUGGCAGCUAUUAGUCUACUAUGGUGCAAGUCAGCUUGGUUGGUUGCUGUCUCUCGUCUCUCAUCUCUCCCUCCCUGCUCCCUCCUCCCUGCUCCUCAUGUCACUCACUACAGCAGCACCUCUCUCCCUCUGGUGCUUUAUCAGCUCUGGUUAAUAAAGUAGCUUAAAAAAAUGACUUUUCUGCUGCUUCCCUCACUCGGAUCAGACCGGGUCUGGAUCCAACCAGGUCUAUACGGAACGUGUCUAGUUGUCCUUGAGUCCGUUCGGAACAGGUCCAACUUUUUGGUCGAGUGCCCCCCGACCCCAAAUCCGGUAGUCCAGCCCUGGCUAAAGCCUGAGAG
This 786-nucleotide long non-coding RNA is filed under the name Salmo salar (Atlantic salmon). RNAcentral's name for it is "lncRNA (ENSSSAG00000110068.1)". The record is from RNAcentral. Lineage: Eukaryota; Metazoa; Chordata; Actinopteri; Salmoniformes; Salmonidae.